AUUAGUUUGAUCCUGGCUCAGAUUGAACGCUGGCGGCAGCUUAACACAUGCAAGUCGAGCGGGGUGAAGUGCUUCGGUACUGAUCCUAGCGGCGGACGGUGAGUCAUGCUUAUGAAUCUGCCAUUUAGUGGGGGACAACAUUCCGAAAGGAAUGCUAAUACCGCAUACGUCCUACGAGGGAAAGCAGGGGAUCUUCGGACCUUGCGCUAAAUGAUGAGCCUAAAUCGGAUUAGCUAGUUGGUGGGGUAAAGGCCUACCAAGGCGACUAUCUGUAGCGGGUCUGAAAGGAUGAUCCGCCACACUGGGACCGAGACACGGCCCAGACUCCUACGGGAGGCAGCAGUGGGGAAUAUUGGACAAUGGGCGGAAGCCUGAUCCAGCCAUGCCGCGUGUGUGAAGAAGGCCUUUUGGUUGUAAAGCACUUUAAGCGAGGAGGAGGCUACCUGCAUUAAUACUCUAGGAUAGUGGACGUUACUCGCAUAAUAAGCACCGGCUAACUCUGUGCCAGCAGCCGCGGUAAUACAGAGGGUGCGAGCGUUAAUCGGAUUUACUGGGCGUAAAGCGUGCGUAGGCGGCUGAUUAAGUCGGAUGUGAAAUCCCUGAGCUUAACUUAGGAAUUGCAUUCGAUACUGGUCAGCUAGAGUAUGGGAGAGGAUGGUAGAAUUCCAGGUGUAGCGGUGAAAUUCGUAGACAUCUGGAGGAAUACCGAUGGCGAAGGCAGCCAUCUGGCCUAAUACUGACGCUGAGGUACGAAAGCCUGGGGAGCAAACAGGAUUAGAUACCCUGGUAGUCC
This 793-nucleotide ribosomal RNA is filed under the name uncultured Gammaproteobacteria bacterium. RNAcentral describes it as "bacterial SSU rRNA". It matches the Rfam family "Bacterial small subunit ribosomal RNA", at positions 1 to 796 of the family's 1533-position model. Lineage: Bacteria; Pseudomonadati; Pseudomonadota; Gammaproteobacteria. The record is from RNAcentral.